GAAACAAUUACGCAUAUUGCCCCAUAUACCAAGGUAUGCUGACAAGGGCUUCUUACUUCAAUUUGUAUUACAUAUGCAGAAUGUAGCAUGUGGAAUUUUCUUUAAGUAUAUGAUAAAUGAUAUUAUUCCCUAUAAUUAUGAUUUUAGUAGGUUUUGCAUAAAAAUAUUUUUUCUAAUACAGCUUAUUCGCCUGAAGAAAAUGUAUACAACUGCUGUAAAAGGUUAAAAACUAAAUUCACCCAGCG
This 245-nucleotide long non-coding RNA is filed under the name Mytilus galloprovincialis (Mediterranean mussel). Lineage: Eukaryota; Metazoa; Mollusca; Bivalvia; Mytilida; Mytilidae. The record is from RNAcentral.